This 1148-nucleotide small RNA is filed under the name Arabidopsis thaliana (thale cress). RNAcentral's name for it is "ATSL134440". Lineage: Eukaryota; Viridiplantae; Streptophyta; Magnoliopsida; Brassicales; Brassicaceae. The record is from RNAcentral.
UUAUUGUAUUUAUGGUUUAACGUGUUGUUGCUUUAAAUUUGUUAUUAGAUCAUAACCCGUGCUAUACAGUACGGGCAUUAAUAUUUUGAAUAAAUUAAAUUGUAUACUUUGUUAUGUUUGCUAUGUUUGUCAAAAUUAAUUGUUAUAUUUGUCAAACUUUAGUAAAAUAUAUUCAAAUAUAAUUAAAUUUAUUAAAACUUAAUAAAUUUAAAAGUUUUUUUUGUUUGGAGACGCACUAUCUACAUACAAAAUACCCGUUUCUAUUUUUUGAGUAUUUUUAGGGCCUGAAACUUUUUAUCCAAACUGACCUAAACCCAACUGGACGCGACCCGAACCGAAUAUUUAGAAUUAUUCUAUUAGGUAGUAAAUCAUAUACCCAUUAAUCCCAAACCCGAACGGGUUCUACCCGAACUCGAAUGGAUUACUCAUAUGCCCAGCCCUAUUCUCUGAUUUAAUUAUCUAAAAAAUCCCAAUAAAACAUAUGUUUUGGUGACUACUUUUUAUUCAAAAAAAUUUACAUCCUCUUCUGCCAAAAUCAUUUCAUAAGACAUCCCAAAACCCUUGGAAUAAUGAUUCCAUGAAUGAAGAAUUCUUAUCCCAAAACCCUUGGAAUAAUGAUUUCAUGAAUGAAGAAUCCUAAUUUGAAUAUACCAGAGGUUUUGAAAGGUUUUAAGUUUUUGAUAGGUGUGUAUCUGAGAAGGUACAUCCAUCGUGAUGGUAAUCUGCUUAUUUAUAAUUUUAACUUGCAUUAUACAGCAGGUAGUCUUAUAUUUUAGUUAAACUAAAAACUUUUAUUGUAAAGUUGAUUAUAAAUAUAUGAUAUUAUUUUAUUUGAUUUUAAAUGUAUAGUAAACUGCGAGUUGUAUAUGUUUUGUUGAUAUUAUUUAUAUUGUUUAGUGUUUAAAAUGAUAUACUUGUAUUUUGAUUGUUAAUUUUAGAGUUUCACAUGUAGUAUAUCAUCUUGUAUUAAUAUUGAUUUAAACCCGUCAAUUAUAGGAUUUUUCAGCUUGUAUUAAAAAUUGAAUCACAUCAUACACAUUAAAAAAUCUAAUAUGUUAUUAAUUAUUAUAGUAUAUAAGAUUAUAAAUUUUAAAAUAAUAUGUAUGAAAUUGAAUAUAAAUAUUCAAAUUAUGACACAAUACUCAGUA